CACAUGGUUCCAUAUCACCAGUAACGUAAAGAAAAUUCUGGAUGCUAAUCUCUUUUUUUUUUCGAGCACCAUGGUUCGAACUGACAAUGGAAGUAGUUUACUAGUCCCUUCCAAGAGGGAGGAUGCCACUGUAUAUCGAUGCUGAGUGCCCAUGUGGCCUACUUGACCGAAUGCCGAGACCUUAGAGGCCGGCAGGCAGGCAGGCUACUGAUCCUCUGGGGUGCUG
Molecule: long non-coding RNA, 226 nt
Organism: Alosa sapidissima (American shad)
Lineage: Eukaryota; Metazoa; Chordata; Actinopteri; Clupeiformes; Clupeidae
Exons: 3
Source: RefSeq, a predicted model, not a curated record